CCUACGGGAGGCAGCAGUGAGGAAUAUUGGUCAAUGGACGCAAGUCUGAACCAGCCAUGCCGCGUGCAGGAAGACGGCUCUAUGAGUUGUAAACUGCUUUUGUACGAGGGUAAACGCAGAUACGCGUAUCUGUCUGCAAGUAUCGUACGAAUAAGGAUCGGCUAAUUCCGUGCCAGCAGCCGCGGUAAUACGGAGGAUUCAAGCGUUAUCCGGAUUUAUUGGGUUUAAAGGGUGCGUAGGCGGUCGGAUAAGUUAGAGGUGAAAUCCCGAGGCUCAACUUCGGAAUUGCAUCGGAAACUGUUCGGCUAGAGAGUAGUUGCGGUAGGCGGAAUGUAUGGUGUAGCGGUGAAAUGCUUAGAGAUCAUACAGAACACCGAUUGCGAAGGCAGCUUACCAAGCUACUUCUGACGUUGAGGCACGAAAGCGUGGGGAGCAAACAGGAUUAGAUACCCCAGUAGUC
Molecule: ribosomal RNA, 460 nt
Filed under: uncultured bacterium
Lineage: Bacteria
Description: partial 16S ribosomal RNA
Rfam family: Bacterial small subunit ribosomal RNA
Source: RNAcentral